Molecule: ribosomal RNA, 228 nt
Filed under: uncultured bacterium
Lineage: Bacteria
Description: partial 16S ribosomal RNA
Rfam family: Bacterial small subunit ribosomal RNA
Source: RNAcentral
UGAGCAAUCUGCCCUUCUCAUCGGAAUAAGCGUUGGAAACGACGUCUAAUGCCGAAUACGACCUCCUUUCGCAUGAUCGGAGGUGGAAAGCUCCCGCGGAGAAGGAUGAGCUCGCGGCCUAUCAGCUAGUUGGUGUGGGUAAUGGCCCACCAAGGCGACGACGGGUAGCUGGUCUGAGAGGAUGGCCAGCCACAUUGGGACUGAGACACGGCCCAGACUCCGUACGGG